This 73-nucleotide transfer RNA is filed under the name Stegodyphus mimosarum. It matches the Rfam family "tRNA". From Rfam's summary of the family: Transfer RNA (tRNA) molecules are approximately 80 nucleotides in length. Their secondary structure includes four short double-helical elements and three loops (D, anti-codon, and T loops). Further hydrogen bonds mediate the characteristic L-shaped molecular structure. tRNAs have two regions of fundamental functional importance: the anti-codon, which is responsible for specific mRNA codon recognition, and the 3' end, to which the tRNAs corresponding amino acid is attached (by aminoacyl-tRNA synthetases). tRNAs cope with the degeneracy of the genetic code in two manners: having more than one tRNA (with a specific anti-codon) for a particular amino acid; and 'wobble' base-pairing, i.e. permitting non-standard base-pairing at the 3rd anti-codon position. The record is from Rfam by way of RNAcentral. Lineage: Eukaryota; Metazoa; Arthropoda; Arachnida; Araneae; Eresidae.
GCCUUUGUGGUGUAGUGGUCAGCACGCUUGACGCGUAACCGAGAGGUCCGUGGUUCGAUUCCCGUCGAAGGUG